AUGGAGUCCAUGCUCUUGAGGGCCUCCCGUGACUUUGCUCGCGCCGCCAGCAAGAUCGCGUCGGCUGGUCGGUGGGCAGCGCCGGUGACAGCGGCUCGAUCAGCCCCCUCAGAUCUGAGGAGCCGCCUCUCCUUCCACAGCGGCACCGGUGGUAACACACCCAUCUCCACCGACGCACCACCGGACGAAAUGUCGUCGCCCGCUUCCUUCACCCCCCUCCCAGGUAAGGUGAAAAUUCUGCCUUCAGACGAGGACGUUGAGUCAGAGGAAGCCCUGUGGGCCUUGUAUCUGCGCUGGUGCAACACUUUGAACCAGAAGCGUGACCAUGAUGAGAUGGUUCGCCGGUUUGAUGUAUUCAAGGACACUGUUCGGAUGGUCCACCGUGUCAACAAGGCUAAAUUGCCUUACACUCUGAAAGUAAGUGAAUUCGCUGAUGGGAAGCUACAAGAGUCCAUGAGUCCAAAAGUGUUUGAUGAAUUCGCAACUCAUGCAAAGGGUGGUGGAUCUCGCCCUUUGGCAAAUCGUCGGAAGGAAGGGGAUCUCAUCAUUGAAACUGGUGAAGAUGUGCCAGAAUAUCCCCAAAUGUACUUCAAGUUCUCUGAAUCUGGAGAUUCCAUCAUCCCCUUGGAAUGA
RNAcentral lists this ribosomal RNA (633 nucleotides) under Triticum aestivum (bread wheat). RNAcentral describes it as "partial small subunit ribosomal RNA". Lineage: Eukaryota; Viridiplantae; Streptophyta; Magnoliopsida; Poales; Poaceae. The record is from RNAcentral.